UCCGUCUCUUUUUUUGAGGGAUAAUUACAGUUUCCUCAUCGGAGAUUAGAUCCUUACUAAGCUCCAUGUGAUUUGAAAAGAAGCACUUAAUCUCUCUAUGGUCAGAUAGAUCUGUCGAACAUGCUCCAUUACUCACCUGCAUGACAAAAUAGAUUCAAGGAUUUUUCUGGGACCUUGCUACGUAAGAGGAAGAGGAAGGGGAGUC
Molecule: long non-coding RNA, 205 nt
Filed under: Elaeis guineensis (African oil palm)
Lineage: Eukaryota; Viridiplantae; Streptophyta; Magnoliopsida; Arecales; Arecaceae
Description: long non-coding RNA (EGUI_LNC022224)
Source: RNAcentral